Molecule: non-coding RNA, 45 nt
Filed under: Schistosoma mansoni
Lineage: Eukaryota; Metazoa; Platyhelminthes; Trematoda; Strigeidida; Schistosomatidae
Source: RNAcentral
AUCCAGAUGACGAGUCCUAAGUAGGGCGAAACGCACGUCAUGGAU